GCCAGGCACAGUGGAGCAUGCCUGUAAUCCCAACUAUUUGGGAGGCUGAGGCAGGAGGAUUGCAAGUUCAAGGCCAGCCCCCAGGCAACUUAGAGAGAUCCUGUCUUAG
Molecule: small RNA, 109 nt
Filed under: Marmota monax (woodchuck)
Lineage: Eukaryota; Metazoa; Chordata; Mammalia; Rodentia; Sciuridae
Source: RNAcentral